RNAcentral lists this ribosomal RNA (382 nucleotides) under uncultured eukaryote. RNAcentral's name for it is "partial 18S ribosomal RNA". It matches the Rfam family "Eukaryotic small subunit ribosomal RNA", at positions 592 to 975 of the family's 1831-position model. The record is from RNAcentral.
CAAUAGCGUAUAUUAAAGUUGUUGCAGUUAAAAAGCUCGUAGUUGGAUUUCUGGUGGGAGCGAUCGGUCUGGCGCUUAGCGCGAGUACUUUCAUCGUCUCCGGCCAUCCUUGGGGAGAGUCUGUCUGGCAUUAGGUUGUCGGGCAGAGGAUCCUCAUCGUUUACUGUGAAAAAAUUAGAGUGUUCAAAGCAGGCUUAUGCCGUUGAAUAUAUUAGCAUGGAAUAAUAAGAUAGGACUUUGGUACUAUUUUGUUGGUUUGCGCACCAAAGUAAUGAUUAAUAGGGACAGUUGGGGGCAUUCGUAUUCCGUUGUCAGAGGUGAAAUUCUUGGAUUUACGGAAGACGAACUACUGCGAAAGCAUUUACCAAGGAUGUUUNCAUUA